RNAcentral lists this ribosomal RNA (258 nucleotides) under uncultured bacterium. RNAcentral describes it as "partial 16S ribosomal RNA". It matches the Rfam family "Bacterial small subunit ribosomal RNA", at positions 96 to 354 of the family's 1533-position model. The record is from RNAcentral.
CGGCGGACGGGUAAGUAACGCGUGAGCAAUCUGCCUCUGUCAUCGGGAUAACAUUUAGAAAUAGGUGCUAAUACCGAAUAAGACCACGAUGCGGCAUCGCAUUGGGGUAAAAAGGUUACUGGACAGAGAUGGGCUCGCGUCCGAUUAGGUAGUUGGUGAGGUAACGGCCCACCAAGCCGACGAUCGGUAGCCGGACUGAGAGGUUGAACGGCCACAUUGGGACUGAGACACGGCCCAGACCCCUACGGGAGGCAGCAG